CCAGACUCCUACGGGAGGCAGCAGUGGGGAAUAUUGGGCAAUGGGCGCAAGCCUGACCCAGCAAUGCCGCGUGAAGGAAGAAGGCUUUCGGGUUGUAAACUUCUUUGACAGGGGAAGAGCAGAGGACGGUACCCUGAAAACAAGCCACGGCUAACUACGUGCCAGCAGCCGCGGUAAUACGUAGGUGGCAAGCGUUGUCCGGAUUUAUUGGGUUUAAAGGGUGCGCAGGCGGAUUUUUAAGUCAGCGGUCAAAUCGUGGGGCUCAACCCCAUCCAGCCGUUGAAACUGGGGAUCUAGAGUGUGCGAGAGGUAUGCGGAAUGCGUGGUGUAGCGGUGAAAUGCAUAGAUAUCACGCAGAACCCCGAUUGCGAAGGCAGCAUACCGGUGCACAACUGACGCUCAGGCACGAAAGCGUGGGUAUCGAACAGGAUUAGAUACCCGAGUA
Molecule: ribosomal RNA, 445 nt
Filed under: uncultured bacterium
Lineage: Bacteria
Description: bacterial SSU rRNA
Rfam family: Bacterial small subunit ribosomal RNA
Source: RNAcentral